GUAGGUGGCAAGCGUUGUCCGGAAUUAUUGGGCGUAAAGCGCGCGCAGGCGGUUCUUUAAGUCUGAUGUGAAAGCCCACGGCUCAACCGUGGAGGGUCAUUGGAAACUGGAGAACUUGAGUACAGAAGAGGAAAGCGGAAUUCCACGUGUAGCGGUGAAAUGCGUAGAGAUGUGGAGGAACACCAGUGGCGAAGGCGGCUUUCUGGUCUGUAACUGACGCUGAGGCGCGAAAGCGUGGGGAGCAAACAGGGAUUAGAUACCCUGGUAGUCCACGCCGUAAACGAUGAGUGCUAAGUGUUAGGGGGGUUUCCGCCCCCUUAGUGCUGCAGCUAACGCAUUAAGCACUCCGCCUGGGGGUACGGCCGCAUGGCUG
RNAcentral lists this ribosomal RNA (373 nucleotides) under uncultured organism. Its description in RNAcentral is "partial 16S ribosomal RNA". It matches the Rfam family "Bacterial small subunit ribosomal RNA", at positions 527 to 896 of the family's 1533-position model. The record is from RNAcentral.